This 12770-nucleotide long non-coding RNA is filed under the name Nicotiana tabacum (common tobacco). RNAcentral describes it as "long non-coding RNA (NTAB_LNC013119)". Lineage: Eukaryota; Viridiplantae; Streptophyta; Magnoliopsida; Solanales; Solanaceae. The record is from RNAcentral.
UUAGCUAUGACAAUUAAUUAAUUAACGCGUCUAAAGCAAACUACGAAAGUUCAAGACAUUUUUUAUACUAGUCAAGGUAAUUAAUAUGAGGGCCAUAGAUUAUGGAUUUGUUUGCGUAUGGCGCACCUCAAUUAUUUUAAAAGAAAAGAUUUGUAUUUCGUUAAGGCCAACUAAAAUAUUCCUACUUAUAUCUAAUUUUAAAGAAAACUAAGUAUCACAACCAUGUCACGGGAACCGUACCCGCAACUACGAUGAAAUGCCGACCUGAACUGGUUAUAUGAAGAUUAUAGGCAGUGUUACAUUGCAAAACCCAUAGGAAUAAAACUUGAAGGCUUGGUUGGUUUUUACUUAUUCCUUCAAAUUACUUACACAGUUUCACUAUCCUAGUAAUAUGACCAUUAUAACUAAUGCAAGUCAAAUAUGUUGAAUUUCCUAUGAAAGCUCACGAGAUGAAAGACCUUUAUUAUGCAAAUCAUACCAAAUAGCCUCCUUACAUGGAAAAAUUCUGGACAUUAAUUUAGUUCAUGACCAAAGUAUCAGUAAUCUUUCUCCCUCAAACAAUUUAUCACAAAACUAUGGCCACUAUACAUAUAUUAUGCUUAAACAGUUAAAAGAAUAAAACCUUAGGAAUAAACUUCAAUGUAUUCCUAGUUUUAUUAAUGAAAUCACGCACACAACAAAAGCAAACAUUCGUAUUGCCACUCUCAUGUAAUUAACGAAUCCGCCCGCAAAAUUCGAGCAAAUUUCUCCAAAACAAAUAGGCACAAAAUAUUACUAUAAAAUUCAUACUCAACAAAGUUAACAAGAUAUAUACAAUUUAAUGAAAUGUGACUAAAUCACGGCCAUAAACAUCAUUGAUACUAACAAAAAGGGAACGGACCUUUGAACAAAUUGAAAUUCAACCUCAAAUCAGAAACAAAGAGCAACGAUUUCAAAUCGAACCUCGACGGCGCCGGAAAACUCUAGUUUUUAUGCUCAACGCUUCUGCUUGAUUUUCUCCCACUUCGGAUUAGCAGCAGAUGUGAGCGAAAGAAAUGGGGACAGUGAGUGUGUGUGGGUUUGUUUGCCGGGUCUACUGCUAGCGACGUCGCUGGUCAAAGGGGUCGGAUUCUGGCGGCGGCUGGUGGCUGGUUUAGUGGGAUACAAGUAACGGCUCACAUGGAGAUUAAUGGAGGUAAGGGAGUGGCGGUUGGUAUUGUUGGUCGACCAAAUCUGAUGGAUGUAACGGCCAGGGUCCUUGGUUAGCGAGGUGAAAAAUAAGAACGGAGGGGGGGGGAGUCUCUUGGUGUUAUACGACUGAUGUCCCUUUUUGUCUCCAGGGUCUAAAGUGCUGAAAUAGAUGACCUUUUAGGGUGUAACGGCUGAAGACUCAACCUUAGGUUCUAGGGUUUUUUUUUCCUUGUAUAUUAUACUAAAGUAGUAUCCAGGUUUGGGCUUUUGAGUUAAUGGGCUAAGAGAUUGGUUUAGUUGGGCUACAAGCAAGACUAAAUUAGUCCAAAAAAAAUUAAUUCUAUUCCCUCCUCCUUUUCGUAUGUAAAAAUAACAUAGCAAACAAGAUAACUAUUACAAAUACUACUUAAUCUUACUUAAGAAAAUAACUAUUAAAAUAACACUAAUCAUUUAAAACAAACCUAUUUUUUGGUAUUUUUUUCAAGAUUAAAAAUGACUACAAAACCUUAAUGAAACUAUUUUUUUGUGAGAAAAUAAGGUAAAAGGGUCAACACUAAUUAAAAUAGCGAUUUUAGGCCUAAACUAAACAUUUACAUGCUAAAAUAUGAAAAAUCUUAGGGAGAGUCAAAAAUCACAUGUCUACAGGUGUCCGUCUUUGACUUGAAACACGAUGUAUUUUCAGAAAAAGAACGACUAAACAUGUUUUUUUACCCGACCCUUAUUUGGAGAGACCAAAACUAAAAGAAAGGAGAAUGUGAUUGAGCCCUGGUAUCUAAGCUGCCUACGUAUCCUUGGCUAUAAAGGAAUCAGACCACGUGUAGUUCAGAAGUGAGUGACAUGAUGGAGUAUCCCGAGGUGGAGAGCCGAUCGAAGUGUCGUUUUGUUGAGUUUCCGGUCCACGGUUCUGUUAUUACAUCAAAAUCAAAAAAAAAUGAAAGAGACUAACUAAGCCUGUCAACUAUUAGUUACAAGAUUCCUAUCUAUAAGUCUUCUGAAACUUGAUCUUGAGUCUUGAAUGGUUCUUUAUGCAGACUUUGGAUUUGAACCUUGACGCUUGCUAGUUGCAGGUGCUAGUUCAUUCUUCUUCAGCUUUUCAGAUCAAAACCGGACAUACCAUGCUUGUGACUUCAUUCAUGUCUCGAGCAGCCCACUUCAUUCAUCAACUUCUGCAUUUGGAUUCACUUCUUGCCUUUUUUUAUAUUCUGGAUUGUGACUAACUUCCGUUGAUCAUCUCGGAUUGUUGACUCGCAUUCUUGCUGCGAGUUUCUUUUGUUGCUAACUUGAAUUGCAUUCUGAAGUGAAUUCCCUUAUUCUCCACGUAGGUUCCUGAUUGCCAAUACUCGAACUGUCUUCCUUCGAAACUUGGACUGUCUUUUCCUUAUUCUCCGGGUGGGCGCCUGAUUGUUGCAUUGUUUUUCCUUGAAACUUGAACUGUUUUCUCUUUGUUUUCCAGGUGGGUGCCUGAUUGCUGAACUUGAACUAUCUUCUUUUGAACAUUUCUGUUUUCCCUCUGUUCUCCAGGUGGGCGCCUGAUUACCAACAUUUGAAUUGUCUUCUUUUCCUCCGAAACUUGAAUUGUUUUCCAUUUGUUUUCCAGGUGGGCGCCUGAUUGCAGAACCUGAAUCGUCUUCCUUUGAACAUUGCUGCUUCCCCUUUGUUCUCUAGGUGGGCUCCUGAUUUCCAACACUUGAACUGUUUUCUCGAAAAUUGACUUGUUUUCCCUUUGUUCUCCAGUUGGGCUCCUAAUUGUUGUCUUCCUUUGUACCUUGCUGCUUUUCCUUUGUUCUCCAGGUGGGCUCCUGAUUUACAACACUUGAACUGCUUCCCUUUGUUAUCCAGGUGGGCACCUGAUUACCAAUACUUGAAUUGUUUUUCCUUUGUUCUCCAGGUGGGCUCUUGAUUUCCAACACUUGAACUGUUUUCUCUUUGUUCUCCAGGUGGGCUCCUGAUUUCCAAUACUUGAAUUGCUUUCCCUUUGUUCUCCAGGUGGGCUCCUGAUUUCCAACACUUGAACUACUUUCCUUUGAACCUGAUUAUAACAAAACAAACAAAACAAAAGAAUUCUUUCUUCCCCAGUUUGAUAUUGGGAACAUCUGCAAGUGUUAAUCGAAUCAUGGUACCCAAGAGCUCUAAGAAUUUAAAAGCUAACUCUCAUUAUCCAGGAGGGUCCUGAAAAUUAAAUCUUAUCUUAAGAGUGAAAACUUGAAAGCUAAAUUCUAUUUCUUAACGGUAAAACUUACGCUAAAACUCAUUAUCUCUGAGGGUUCUAAAAACUUAAAAUUGAAUCCCAUUAUCCAGGAAGGUCCUGACAACUUAAAACUACAUCCCAUUGUCCAGGAGGGUCCUCAACACUUAAAACUAAAUCCCAUUAUCCAAGAGGGUCCUGAAAAGCCGAGAAUGAACUUACCUGAGCCAUGCUCUCUUCUGGUUGAUCUCUGCAGAACGAACAAAAUUCUUUGCCCCUGAACCAUGCUUUUCCUCAUGGAGGGUUCCUAUUGAUCGAACAAAUUUUCUUUCCCUUCUCAAACCGCCUUUGUGCUGACAAAAUUUGGGCACGACACUUGAAAAAAAAUUCAAACUUCCAAGCUUUGAUUUGGACGCAAUUUGCGUCCCCGUUUCAAACAAAAAAAACUUGUGAAUUUAAACAUGGUGGUUGGUUUGUGUCCUUCACUUUGAGGGUGAUUGCUCCUUCACUUCCCAUGAUAACUUUGAUUUCAACUUGAAAGACCUUGCUUGUUUAUUGACUAAUCACUUUCUCUGUCACCCUUAUCACAGAAAAUACAUACUGAUCCCUUCAAACCCAACAUCCUCUCUCUGUUGCAUUUUGCUCAUUAAUUGACAUUUGCCGAAACCUUGCAUUUCACAUGAAUCCCAAAACAUGUUGAUUUUUACCAACUCAGUGCGCUUGCUAUCCUUUCUUGAUGUAUGCCACUGGCCUUGGCCUUGAGGUCUAUUGCUCCUUCACUUGCCAUUAUAACUUUGAUUUCCACUCGGAAGACUUUGCUUGUUAUUGGUUAACCACAUUCUCUGUCAACCUUAUCACAGAAAAUAACUUUGAUCCGUUUACCCAACAUCCUCUAUCUGUUGCAUUGUUCAUGAAUUGAAAUAUACCAAACCUUUGUAUUUCACAUGAAUCCCAAAGCACGCUGAUUGUUACCAACUCAGUGCGCAUGUUGUUCUUUCCUAACUUAUGCCACUUUGAUGUGCUAGCCAGAUCCCAUUUUGUGCAGUUAGAAAGCUGGUGGCAAAUUUUGAAGUCAUUUCUCACUUGCUCUGACCAAACAGACUCAGGAAGAGGAAGUAAACAAGACAAAAGGAACAGAGUAAAAGACGAUGGAAAGAGAUGAUUCCUAACAGCAAAACUACAAGGUAGAAACUUAUCAUAUGUAGAUACCAACUCUAAUGACCAUGACAUGCACUUGUGGCCUAAUCUAUCAAGCAAGUCUGAUGUUCAACUCUUGUUAUACCCCUAAACCGUGAAACUCGGCUUCAAUGCUCUGAUUAUCCAAUCUAAUUCACGAUCCUUAUUCGACUUGUAGUGCCUAAAGGGUUUUCACCAUCAAGCCUCUCUCAUUUUGUUCUCUCUCUCAACUUACCGUCGCCUUAUGGUGCCUAUGAAAGUUUUCACCGAUAAGACUCUCAUUUUUUCUUAUCUUCUUCUUUUCUCCAGUUCUGUAGAUGACAAGGCAUUGAGCAUAGUAAAAAAAAUUAUACGCUCCUGGCAUGGCUAACUCAGCACUCUCAAAGAUUAUCUGGGAGGUCUUUUUGGAUCGUAAUGUGGCUUUUGGACAGGGUUCGAAAGGAAGGAUAUCACAAAGGCUCAAAACAACUAAGAUAACAGGGUUAAUUUAUUUACAAUUUUUGGAAUCCAUUUUAAAAACUCUGUCCCAAUUUCUAAAACAUGGGAGUUUGAAUAUAUUUUUCCCUUUUUUUUCUUUUUUUUCUUUUGAAUUUCCCACUCUCGACUUUGUGGGAUUAUGAGAUAUUUUAUUUGGUAUGACCGAACCAUAAGGCUACCUAUGUAUCUUGUGGUGACAUGAAUCAGGUCAAACGUAGUUCACACGACUACUUUUUGUUACUAUUUUCCUUUUUCUUUCUUCUUUUUUUUUUUAUUUUUUUUCUUUUUCCUUCCUUUUCUCUUUUUUUUCUUUUUCCCUUUUUCUUUUAAUCUCUAUUUUCUCUUCUUUUUUUUUUCCUUUUGGAAUAAACUUUUCUAAAAUAAACCUAUGGGGUCAUGAACUCUCUUUUUUUCGCAUGACUCUAACUUGAUUCCAAAAGAGGGGAGGUCAAAGAAAUUAGACAUAGGCUCAAAAGAGUAUCGAAUGGUAUAAGUGUUUGGGUAACUGAAAGAGGGCCUACCAAUCCCUGAAAAUGCCAAGUACAACACAUGCAACUUGAAAUGAAAAUUGAAGAUCAUGCACAAUAUUUUUUUUGUGGCUUCGGCAUUGAUAUCACUGAUAUGCUUUCCACACUUUUUUUAGUGCUUUGUCAAGUACAGAACCCUCGUUGGGUGAUUCCCCUUUCACAUUCGAUAUCCUCCGUCAAUUCGGAGAAAACUUCUUUGACUUUAUUUUGUAACUUGAGAUGCACUUGAACUCAAAGUUUCUGGCUUCAAAUUGUUGGGACACACUCUCUUGUAACAAAUUCUUGUCGUCCCAUUAACUUUCCAAACUAUCUGCCCCAGUUUCACAUGGUUCGGGCUUCAAAUGAUCUCAAACUGCCUUUACUUAUUUCCCCCAAAUGUCUCUAUCAUCUUCAAAAUUGAUUCAUUGCUUCAUGAUUAAACCAACUUUUAAGACAGGGCCUAGAAUUAUGCGUGCAUGUCAUGUCACUAGAGCCAGCAAGAAAAGAACUAUAAAAGGAAAAGAGAACUAAACAAAAAUGACUAGAACUAACAGAAAACAUGAAAUUGUAUUAGACAGAUAGUGAAAGACUUUGAACAACAAAAUAAGCAAAAUAAACUGGGGUACAACCCUGGAACAAACCUAGAUAACACUAAAUGAGCUACUACGACUAAACAAACUAGUCAAAAUAAAAGGAUAGAAGGGUUUGAGCCACAAGACAAUAUCCGGAUUACAACCCUAAAAUAAACUGGACAACACAAAUGACAACAGAAUAGACCACCAAGAUUCCUCCCUGGCUAACCAAGAAAGGAGAAUCUUUCCAAUAACCAAGCUCAGCAUCUUAGCCAUUGAGUUCCGCAUCAACAGUACUAGGACCUUCACAAGUCUCCAUCACAUUGACCUUAGCAAAUUGCUUUUGGGCCCCUUUUGCCAGCUCGUUCUUAAGAUCAACUUUCGGAACCGAGAGUGAUAACGCUGAAAGCUUUGCGGCAAGUGGCCCUCCAAGGAUCUCAGAAGAAUUCUUAUAUUCCUGUUCAAAACAGAUCAUACCCACCCUAGGCGUCUCAUUAUGAACAGGCAAUGGACUUUGGCUAGUAUCUGCUGCAUUUGGAUUUUGCACGGUAAUGUCACCUACAUCAAUAAGCUUCUGGACUGCUCCUUUCAUAUGCCAACACUUUUCUAUGUCAUGCCCCGGGGCAUUAGAGCAAUAUGCACACCUUUGAGAAAAAUCAAAAUUCUUUGGAAGAGAGUUUGGCAUUUUUAUCUGAAUCGGCUUCAACAUGUCCAAUUGCCUCAGCCUUUUGAACAGACUUGCAUAUGAUUCUUCAAUAGGAGUGAAAGACUUUUUCCUUUGCUUCUGCCUUCUCAUUUUGUACUCUGGCCUCGGUUGAAACCUUUUGCAGGUAGGUGGUUGAUAUGCUUGAGGAGGCGGGUAAGAUAUUUGCAGAAAUGGUGCAGGCCAUUGUAGGUCUCGUGGGUGUGGAGUAUAUGGUGGUGCACUGUGGAUAGGGUACUGGGAAGGUGAGUUAUUACUUUGGGGAUUUGUGGAGAGAAGUAGCAUUGGGGAGAAAUAUUUGGAGCACGAGGAUAUCCAUGGGGUCGAAUUGCGGCUGAAAGCGUUAAGCGCGAAUGCCCACUGGAUCCCGUCGUUGGCGGGGCUCAGCGACAUCUUUUCUAUCAAUGGGAGGACUGUCCCGAGCAACUUGUUCGUUCCAUCUGAACCAAAACUCCUUAAAACCUUCCUCCGGUUUCUUUUCCAUAUUAGAUUGCGAUGAGCGGUCUAGGGUAAUGCCUAUAUUGUAUUGAAAGUACCGAACAAAAUCUUGAUCCUUGUCAUGCCAUGUAGCCUACUUGCUGACAUCUUGACGUGUAUGCCAUUCCUAAGCUUCCCCAGUCAGGCUCUCACUGAAAUACGUCAUCAGCAACUCGUCCUUCCCGCCAACACUUCUCAUUUCACUCCAAUAACCCCUCAGAUGGGCUACCGGAUCUCUGCGCCCCUCAUACAAAUUAAACUUUGGCACUUUAAACCCCGCAGGUAGAUGAACAUCAGGGAACAUAUUAAUCUGAUUUCCCAUCCCUUGCAUGCUCCUUAAGGACUGUUCUAUACGUUUCAACUUCCUGGAUAGCUCAUCUUGCCCUUCUUUUCCUUAAACUUUUCAUUUUCAACAUGAGGCUCAUCCCGAGGGCUCUACUCGUAUGAGUCAGGAACCUUGUGGGAAACCUCUGAGGGGUAAUAUUGGGCAUCAUGGGCUUAGAGUGGAUGUUCAUUGUCGGAUCUAUAAAGGGAAGAUUGUUGAGAAGUUGUGAUCAUGGGGAUAGUGGAUAUGACAGGAGGACAAUUUUGGGGAGAGGUAAUUGGAGGAUGAGUGAUGGAGCUACUAGGGUAUUUGGGAAAGGUGUGAUAAGCGGAUGGAUCUGGAGAGUAUGGGAGAUCAUCUGGCACUAUGGCCGGAGUUUGGGUAAGGAUAACAUCUAAGAAGCUAGGUGGUGGCGGGGUGGUGCCUUCCCAGUCAUCAAAGCCUGAUACAUGUCCGCAAUGUGUUGUUUAACAUCCUUACCUCUUCAACCAACCCAUUGCCCUGUUCAACCAAUUGUUUUUGGGCACCAGUAUCAACCGACUCGAUUUCGUUGUCGUCUGCCAUUGCCUUUCGACCUUAUGUUGUAGAGAAGUGUUACCACUUUAUAGAACCACAAACCAACCACCUUUCUGCUAUGAAGAUGAAGUCAUCACGUUAGCGUUAGGACAUUUAACAUAAGAUAAUCUCACUUUAUGUGCAAUGCACCUAGCCACAGUUAUCGGUUCUAAAAUGACUUCGAGGGUGAGAAGGUCAUAUGGCAUCAUCCCAAUUUUGUUCAUUUCAAUCUUCUCUUUUCUUUUUUUUCUAGCACUUCUUAGCUCGCUCAUUUUUCUCCCGCCUUUUUUUUUCUAAUUAUCGCUCCUUUCUUUCCUCUCAUUUCUCAUAUCCCAUAAUUUUAUUUUUUUCUUUUUUUUUUCUUUUUCUUCUUUUUCUUUAAUAAUAAAAAAAAAUUCAAUCGAACCUUAUGUAGGUUGCCUACGUAUCAUGACGCCGCAUGAAUCAGAUCUUUGCGUAGUUGGGAAAAAUCGAGAAUAGACUAAAUAAACUAACGUUCUCUUUUUCUUUCUUGCUCUUUUUUUUACUUUAAUGACCAAUCCGAAGAGAAAAGAGAAAUAAAGGAAGCAAAAAAAAAAAUUUGAAUUUUCUAGGCUUAAUGUUCUAUAACUUAUUCUAAACUCAAGCUUAUGGAGAAAAUAUUUUUUUUUCUUUUUGAAACAAAAACUCUAUAGGAAAUUAUUAAGGAAAAACCUUACAAGAGAAAAACAUUUUUUGAUUCUUUUUUUAGGAAGGAAAUCUAAAUAAUAAACCAAAAAUAAUAUUUUGAAUUUUCAUUUGGUAUCCCUGAAGAAAGAUUUCGAAACGAGAAAUAAACAAGAUAAAAAAUAUUUUUGGGUUUCAGUUUUUGAUUACCUAAGGAGGAAACUUUAAAGAUAAACAAAAGAUAAAGUAUGUUUUUUUUCUUCUAUGUACAAUAUCCUAAAGUUUUAAUGAAAAUAAAAGAAUUUUUUUCUAUUCAUUUUUCAUUAAUUUCGCAAAGAAGAACCUUAAAAUAAAAUCUUUUUGGAUUUUUUGGAAUUAAUACCUUAAAGAAAACUUUUUUUAAAAAGGUACUAAAAGUUUUUUUUUGAAUUUUUAGUCCUAAUAUACUAAAGUAAAUAUAAAAACAAAUUUUUAUUUUAAGUUCUAGAUAUUAAUUGCCUUAAGGAAAAAUUACCUCAAAUGAUUUUUUUUCAAUUUCUAGGAGUAGUAUUUCUAAAGAAAUUCUAACGGAAAUAUAAAAACGCAAAAUAUCUUCUUCUUUUUUGAAUUUUUGAUUUAUAAUACAUUUUUCAAAUACAAAAUAGAAAAUAAUAACAAAAGACUAACAAACUUAACUAGACUAUGACAGACUCAAAAAUCAACUAAAUGAUUGAAUACUACUAUACAGGACUAGAAAGUAAAACAUGAACAAUAGACUCUAAAACAUAAAAAAAUUCCUCAGGCAGCUCCUGAAUGCAGUGGUCUUGGGGGUAUCUGUCAUGCUCAAACUCCGGUAAGUAGAUCCACACUUGUAUGAGAAAACUGAAACCAACACUAUGUGAGACAAUAACAUUCCAUACUAGACACAUGCAAGACAUGAUUGUGACUAUUUUUCUAAAAUUAACCUAUGUAGCUAAAAAUGCAAGAUUUGGCUAAGACCCCGCGAAGCCAAGAACCUAAACUCACUAGUGUCAGGACCCCAGUUCGCCCUCCGUGAACUGUCUUGACGGCACCUAGACUCUACGACUAGGUAAGCCUAAAUUUGCGGAAUAAAAACCAAAAUUUGCGGAAUUAAAAUAAUUUAAAACAGAAAUAAAGUAAUAAAAAUAUUCAAAAUGCGCAGCUCGGCAUACACCUUGUUUAACUCUCAAUACCAAUACGUAAAUCCAAGACCCGGAAACCCACGAAUCAAGAGCUAAGAGAAAUAUUAUAUAGCUCUAACUCCGGAAUGUCUAAUAAGAACAGAAAAAUACAUAAGGGCUAAAUACUGAAAGGUGGAAUAGAAAGGGACUUCUCGGUCUGCGGACACGACAGAUGUACCUCGAAGUCUCUAGAGCAGUCGCCUCCCUCAAGGGUGGUAGGCCUGAGUAGUGGUACCUAGAUCUGCACAUGAAAAACAUGUGCAGAAAGGGGCAUGAGUACACCACAACGGUACUCAGUAAGUGCCAAGCCUAACCUCGAUUGGGUAGUGAUGAGGAAGGUCAGGGACCUACUGAGAUAAAAUAAAGAAUAUAAGACAUGACAGUAUAAGAUAAGCAGUUCAGUUGAAAAUUAACGAUAAGAAUUUAAUACAGGAAAACACGGAAUUCAAUAACUGAAAAUAGAGGCAAAAACAUUCACAAGGAAAUAACCGGGGAUCUCUUAGUAUCCCGAGGAUCUCUUAGUACCCUCAAUAUAUACCAGAGAUCUUUUGGUAUCCCGAGGAUCUCUCGGUAUCCUCAAUGUAGGCUACGGAUAUCUUGGUAUCCCGAGGAUCAGCCCAAAUCGUAAAUGUGUACAGGGGAUCUCCCAGGAUGUCGUCCCGUAGUCCCAAAGUAAAACAGACAACAAUGGCACAAGGAAUACUCAAAUAAACUCAUCUUUAUAACAAGGUACACAGACAAUUCUAACCUAGCAUGCUUCACGUAAUACAAAUAAGGCAGUUAAAGCAAAUAAAGUAAUUAAGUCAAUUAGACAUGCUUCUCUAACUAACAACAGGUUUAAAGGUGCAAAUAAAAUAAAUAGAAAGGGAAAACACAAUUAAAGUUACUUAAUGAAAACUGGAUUUUCAACAAUUAGCACAAGUACGCACUCGUCACCUCACAUACAAGCCAUUUCAAUUAUCACAAUACAAAUCCUAAGGAGAAAGUCCCCCACACAAGGUUAGACAAUCCACUUACCUCAAACCGGCUCAAAAUCAACCCGAAACCAUGCUCUUGCCACGAGUGCUCGACUCCAAAUGGCCCAAAUCUAUUCAAUUCAAUUGCAUAAUGUAAAUAACACUUCAAGUAACUAAUUGUACAAUUAAAUUCUAAGCCAAUACGCGAAAUUAUGUAAAAUGACCAAAACGCCCCUCGGGCCCACGUCUCAGAAUCCCCAAACUCUCACGAGUUCAUGCAUACCAAUAUUACCAAAAUCGGACCUCAAAUGGUCCCUCAAAUCAUUACUCAAAGGUCUCCAAUACUAAGCCCUAGUUUUCCCAAAUUUUCACCCUUAAUUUCCAUGAUUUCUAGCUCAUAUCCGUGAUAUAAUAGCAUAGGAACGAGUUUUAGGUCCAAAUUCCUUACUUCAAUGAAGUUCCCUUGAAAUCCCUCUUUCAAAUCGUCCCAAAAGCUCCCAAGCCGUGAUAAAAAUGGUAUAAUAAACCCCAAAGUUGUGGAACCUCUUUUAAAAUAAUCUGCCUAAUAGUUUACGCAUCUACGGCCUUGGGACCGCUUCUGCGGUCCCACAUGUGCGGAAAAAGGGGUCGCAUCUACAACUUACACUUAAAGUCCAGUUUCCGCACCUGUGAUUUCCUAUCCGCAGGUGAGGUACCGUUCAGCGGUUAACUACCUGCAUCUGUGAAACCUGCUGCUUCUCCACAACUCCGCUUCUGCGAUCGCUGAGCCGAAUCUGCAACGGGUUCUAUAUGUGCGGUUAUGAUAGCACCAGCAGCUGAAGCUGCAACUUAAACUCCAAAAUUUCCUCUGUCAACCAUCUGAAUUAAUCCCGAGGCCCCCAGGACCCCAACCAAAGGCACCAACAAGUCACAAAACACUACCCAAACUUGUACCAAUCCUUAAAACACCUAAAAGAACAUCGAAACCUCGAAUUAACAAAGGAUUUAAGCCUAAGAACUCCAAACUUUCUCAAAAUAUGCUUUCGAUCAAAAAGUCUAGCAAAACCUCGUCCGAAAGACCUAAUAUUUUGCACACACGUCACAUUCCACACUACGGAGCUACUCCAACUUCCGGAAUUUCAUUCCGAUCCUCGGAUCAAAAUCUCACUAUUGGACCAGAAACUUCAAAAAUUCAACUUUCGACAUUUCAAACCUAAAUUAACUACGGACCUCCAAAAGACAAUCCGAACACGCCCCUAAGCCCGAAUUCACCUAACGGAGCUAACAGAACCAUCAAAUUUCCAUUCCAAUGUCGUCUUUAUACUAUUACGAUUGCGAUCAACUUUCCAACACUUAAGCUCUCAUUUAGGGACUAAGUGUCCCAAAACUCCCCGAAACUCAAAAAUUGAACAUCCCGGUGAAUCAAAUAGUAGAAAUAAACUCGAAAAAAGCAGUUAAUAGGGGAUCGGGACGUAAAUUCUUAAGAUGACCAUCCGGGUCGUCACAUCCUCCUAGACUUAAACAUUUGUUCGUCCUCAAAUGAGCAUAAAGACAUACCUGAAGUAGUGAAAAGAUGAAGGUAACAUUUGCGCAUAUUCUGCUCGGUCUCCUAGGUCGCCUCCUUGACCGGCUGACCCCGCCACUGAACCUUUACCGAUGCAAUGUUCUUUGACCUCAGUUUUCUAACCUGUCUGUCCAAUAUUGCCACUAGUUCCUUAACAUAAGAUAGAUCCUUGUUCAACUGGUAUCCCGAGGAUCUCUCUGUAUUCUCAAUGUAUGCUAGGGAUUUCUUGGUAUCCCGAGGAUCUCUCGGUAUCCUCAAUAUAGGCUAGGGAUCUCUUGGUAUCCCGAGGAUCUCUUGGU